GAUGAACGCUAGCGAUAGGCUUAACACAUGCAAGUCGAGGGGCAGCACAAGGUAGCUUGCUAUCUGGGUGGCGACCGGCGCACGGGUGCGUAACGCGUAUGCAACUUGCCCUAUACAGGAGGAUAACCCGUCGAAAGACGGACUAAUACUGCGUAUGCUCACAACUUGGCAUCAAGUGGUGAGGAAAGAAAUUCGGUAUAGGAUAGGCAUGCGUCCCAUUAGCUUGUUGGUGAGGUAACGGCUCACCAAGGCAACGAUGGGUAGGGGAACUGAGAGGUUUAUCCCCCACACUGGUACUGAGACACGGACCAGACGACUACGGGAGGCAGCAGUGAGGAAGAUUGGGCAAUGGGCGCGAGCCUGAACCAGCCAAGUCGCGUGAAGGAUGACUGUCUUAUGGAUUGUAAACUUCUUUUAGACGGGAAUAACAAGAGUCACGUGUGACUCCCUGCAUGUACCGUAUGAAUAAGCAUCGGCUAACUCCGUG
This 487-nucleotide ribosomal RNA is filed under the name uncultured bacterium. Its description in RNAcentral is "partial 16S ribosomal RNA". It matches the Rfam family "Bacterial small subunit ribosomal RNA", at positions 28 to 507 of the family's 1533-position model. The record is from RNAcentral.